Molecule: ribosomal RNA, 575 nt
Filed under: uncultured Flavobacteriia bacterium
Lineage: Bacteria; Pseudomonadati; Bacteroidota; Flavobacteriia
Description: bacterial SSU rRNA
Rfam family: Bacterial small subunit ribosomal RNA
Source: RNAcentral
GCUAGCGGCAGGCCUAACACAUGCAAGUCGAGGGGUAACAGGAAAGCUUGCUUUUGCUGACGACCGGCGCACGGGUGCGUAACGCGUAUGCAACCUACCUCAUACUGGAGGAUAGCCCUUGGAAACGAGGAUUAAUACUCCAUAGUAUCACGAAUUCGCAUGUUUUUGUGAUUAAAGUUUUUCGGUAUGAGAUGGGCAUGCGUCCCAUUAGCUAGUUGGUGAGGUAACGGCUCACCAAGGCGACGAUGGGUAGGGGGCCUGAGAGGGUGGUCCCCCACACUGGUACUGAGACACGGACCAGACUCCUACGGGAGGCAGCAGUGAGGAAUAUUGGUCAAUGGAGGCAACUCUGAACCAGCCAUGCCGCGUGAAGGAUGACGGCCCUAUGGGUUGUAAACUUCUUUUAUAUGGGAAGAAACUUAUCUACGUGUAGAUAACUGACGGUACCAUACGAAUAAGGAUCGGCUAACUCCGUGCCAGCAGCCGCGGUAAUACGGAGGAUCCAAGCGUUAUCCGGAUUCAUUGGGUUUAAAGGGUCCGUAGGCGGGUCUUUAAGUCAGUGGUGAAAGCCGACA